GACGUAGGGCGCGAGCGUUGUCCGGAUUUAUUGGGCGUAAAGAGCUCGUAGGCGGCUUGUCGCGUCGACUGUGAAAACCCGCGGCUCAACUGCGGGCCUGCCGCCGAUACGGGCAGGCUAGAGUUCGGUAGGGGAGACCGGAAUUCCUGGUGUAGCGGUGAAAUGCGCAGAUAUCAGGAGGAACACCGGUGGCGAAGGCGGGUCUCUGGGCCGAUACUGACGCUGAGGAGCGAAAGCGUGGGGAGCGAACAGG
This 253-nucleotide ribosomal RNA is filed under the name uncultured bacterium. RNAcentral describes it as "partial 16S ribosomal RNA". It matches the Rfam family "Bacterial small subunit ribosomal RNA", at positions 524 to 776 of the family's 1533-position model. The record is from RNAcentral.